AGCCCUCAGCCACUCUACUAGGGGUUUUCAGGAUAAAAACCCAAGCAGGAAGAGCUUGGUGGAGGCAGCGAAAGCUAGACACAGUGAAGUAGAGAUAAAUACAUAAUUUUCAGUAAUAUUGGUCCAUCCCAUCCCCAUCCCGAUCAGUCUGCAGAGGCCAGAUCAAUAGUGUGCCACAAAGGAAGAGCAGAUGCCCUGCAGAAACGUGCCGAUAAAGCUGUCAUGGGGCAGUUAAACUAGUUUUCAUGCAGUUAAAUGAUCACAUGAAGAGAUCUUGCUGAAAUUUGCAUUUAAAAGGAGCAUAAAUUACCAUGGCUCACCCAUUUAUGGUCUUGGAGCACUCUAACGAUGGGCAGG
Long non-coding RNA from Hemicordylus capensis (graceful crag lizard), 357 nucleotides. RefSeq lists it as uncharacterized. The record is from RefSeq and is a predicted model, not a curated record. The transcript has 4 exons. Lineage: Eukaryota; Metazoa; Chordata; Lepidosauria; Squamata; Cordylidae.